Molecule: long non-coding RNA, 721 nt
Filed under: Pan troglodytes (chimpanzee)
Lineage: Eukaryota; Metazoa; Chordata; Mammalia; Primates; Hominidae
Description: long non-coding RNA NONPTRT002337
Source: RNAcentral
ACACAGCUCAUCUGUCAGGCGGGGCAGCUCCUACAGCUCUUCCAUGAGCACAGGAGGAGGUGGUGCAGGCUCCCUGGGUGCAGGCGGUGCCUUUGGUGCAGCUGCAGGAGACGGGGGUCCCUAUGGCACUGACAUCGGCCCAGGCGGAGGCUAUGGGGCAGCAGCAGAAGGCGGCAUGUAUGCUGGCAAUGGCGGACUAUUGGGAGCUGACUUUGCUGGAGGUCUGGAUUACAAUGAGCUGGCUGUGAGGGUGUCAGAGAGCAUGCAGCGUCAGGGCCUACUGCAAGGGAUGGCCUACACUGUCCAGGGCCCACCAGGCCGGCCUGGGCCGCAGGGGCCACCCGGCAUCAGCAAGGUCUUCUCUGCCUACAGCAACGUGACUGCGGACCUCAUGGACUUCUUCCGAACUUAUGGAGCCAUUCAAGGACCCCCUGGGCAAAAAGGAGAGAUGGGCACUCCAGGACCCAAAGGUGACAGGGGCCCUGCUGGGCCACCAGGUCAUCCUGGGCCACCUGGCCCUCGAGGACACAAGGGAGAAAAAGGAGACAAAGGUGACCAAGUCUAUGCUGGGCGGAGAAGGAGAAGAAGUAUUGCUGUCAAGCCGUGAGCUAGCCAUGGCAGGACAGCUCCUGGACCAGGUCUCAUAAUGCAUGUGGCACUUAGGUCCAAGCUCUCCAGAGGGUGAAACCUGGAGUCUGUCAAUGUCCUACUGAGACAGCAC